UUUUUUUUUUUUUUUUUUUACAAAGACAGACUUGGGUCUAAGUUUUGGUGAUGUUUCUUUUCUGGACAGGGAUAGGGAUAUGAUUUUAUUCCUUAUGCAACUUAAAAAUAAGUGAGAACAUAUAACUUUACUCAAAAAAUUUAAAUUAGAAGUAACCUUCGGCUCCAUUGUUUGGGCUGUUAAAAGAGGUAAAAAUGAGACUGUACCUGGAAGCCAAACAGCGGGGUGGAGAGAACAGAACAAAGGAGAGGGAAGGCUGGCUGGGAAGAGGCUGGGAGGAGGCCGGCUUCCUAUUUCCUUAUUGCUCCAUGCAGCUGUUUUGGGUCUUUGAAUGCUCCCCACUUGCUUCUAACCUCAUCCGUGGUUCAUCCCUCUGCAUCCGCGGGUGUGUUCAAGUCUUUCUCCUAGUGUCUGCGCCCAAGCCAACAUCUGCCACGGGCCUAGGGUCCCAGUCACCGUCUUUCCAUUCUUUCUUCUCUUUGCUCCUUGUUUGUCUCCCGCCUGGUGGAGUCCUAAUUGUUUCAGAACCUUCUGGGCCCGUGAAAAGGGGAUUCGUAAUAAAAAGCUCAGGACUGCUUCAGGAAGCAUUCUUUCCUACCCCCCCCCCCCCUUUCCACACAGGCCCUUCCGAUAACCCCUUUGCUGAUCUGAGCGCUCUUUGAUUUUUCCACACACUAUACUGUUUGCUUUGAAUCGGCUUCUAGAAUUCUCAGGAAUGACCCAGUGGGCCUGGGUUUCAGGUACUGGAGAGAGGGCAGGGUAGUUGCUGCUCUUGCAGCUAAUGAAUCCAGUUCCUGGCUCCCACACUGCAUCAAAAACUCCGGUUACCACAAACUUGAGUCCCUCUUCUGGUCUCCUCGGGUACUGCAUUAUGUACACACACACACACACACACACACACACACACACACACACACACGCACGCACGGGUUUGCUAUGUGAGGUUUGGGUAGGUUGUAUACUCUUUGUGUCCCAUUUCCCUAUUUAUAAAUAUACACAGGCUUAUAGUAAGAAUUAAAUGAGUUACUUCAUGAAAGGUUUAGUAUAAUGCCAGCACAAAUGGUUAACAUUAACUAUCAUUAUUUAAUAAUUCUUUUAAAAGUUAAGUGUCUUAUAACUGAUGACACAACAUUCUCAAUGUUCUCACUCAGUUUCCCGUUUCAAGGGAGUUGAGGGAUUCAGGUGUCUGUUAAAAUGGCUGUGGAGAGAUGGAUGCUUGCUUGGCUUACUGUGUGCUGUAGAAGGGGCCUGUGGAAGUCUGUGGCAGCUUUCUUUUUCAUGGGAGAGAAACAAAAAGAAGGAUGUCCGGAUUCCAGGAAAGGAUGCAGGGAUUUGGGUAUGACUGUGUGGAACAGGAGGCAGAUGGCAGCCAGGCUGGGCAGGUGACAGUGUGCUGCUGCUACCAUCUUUGCUGGACUGUUUUUUUACCAGCUUAGAAAUCCCUAGCCACACAAGCCUUUAAAGAAUGUCACUUUAGAAAUGGUAUGCUCUAGAGUCAGAGGUAGGACUUUAAAAUUUGGAGAAGAAAAAUUAAUUUCAGGUUUGUUUAUUAUCAUCUUUUCCUAAUUAAAAAAUACCAAGAGGUUGAAGAAGAAAAUGCC
Molecule: long non-coding RNA, 1601 nt
Filed under: Mus musculus (house mouse)
Lineage: Eukaryota; Metazoa; Chordata; Mammalia; Rodentia; Muridae
Description: long non-coding RNA chr12:52746690-52748291
Source: RNAcentral